UGGUUCACCUAUAUGUUAGUUUUGCUCAAAACAAGUUUUAGUCUUAUAAGAACAUAUUUAGUGUUUAGACUCUAUGAAAUGCUUGUAAAUUGCUGCAUGCAUUAAUCUCUCUUGUAAUGUCAGUAUUCUAUGCUAUAAGAAAAUACGUAAGUUUUGCUUUGAACUUUUGAAAAUGUUUGCAG
Molecule: long non-coding RNA, 182 nt
Organism: Chelonia mydas (Green sea turtle)
Lineage: Eukaryota; Metazoa; Chordata; Testudines; Cheloniidae
Exons: 3
Source: RefSeq, a predicted model, not a curated record